RNAcentral lists this ribosomal RNA (338 nucleotides) under uncultured bacterium. RNAcentral describes it as "bacterial SSU rRNA". It matches the Rfam family "Bacterial small subunit ribosomal RNA", at positions 28 to 354 of the family's 1533-position model. The record is from RNAcentral.
GAUGAACGCUAGCUACAGGCUUAACACAUGCAAGUCGAGGGGCAGCGGGAUUGAAGCUUGCUUCAAUUGCCGGCGACCGGCGCACGGGUGAGUAACGCGUAUCCAACCUUCCGUACACUCAGGGAUAGCCUUUCGAAAGAAAGAUUAAUACCUGAUGGUAUGAUGAGAUCGCAUGGUAUCAUCAUUAAAGAUUUAUCGGUGUACGAUGGGGAUGCGUUCCAUUAGGUAGUAGGCGGGGUAACGGCCCACCUAGCCUACGAUGGAUAGGGGUUCUGAGAGGGAAGGUUCCCCCCACAUUGGAACUGAGACACGGUCCAAACUCCUACGGGAGGCAGCAG